GCCGAAGUGGCGGAACUGGCAGACGCGCCACGUUCAGGGCGUGGUGGGCUUAUGUCCAUGUGGGUUCAAAUCCCACCUUCGGCA
RNAcentral lists this transfer RNA (84 nucleotides) under Chloroflexota bacterium. RNAcentral's name for it is "Chloroflexi bacterium (anaerobic digester metagenome) tRNA-Leu". It matches the Rfam family "tRNA". Rfam says of the family: Transfer RNA (tRNA) molecules are approximately 80 nucleotides in length. Their secondary structure includes four short double-helical elements and three loops (D, anti-codon, and T loops). The record is from RNAcentral. Lineage: Bacteria; Bacillati; Chloroflexota.